Long non-coding RNA from Dreissena polymorpha, 1276 nucleotides. RefSeq lists it as uncharacterized. The transcript is spliced from 4 exons. The record is from RefSeq and is a predicted model, not a curated record. Lineage: Eukaryota; Metazoa; Mollusca; Bivalvia; Myida; Dreissenidae.
GCUCACCUUCGCCAUCUCCUGGUUUUCCUUCUGCUUUUUCUUCCGGCACUUCUCGGCUGCGCGGCGAUUCUGUGCCUUCCGCCGCUCCUUCUUAUCCAGCUCGUAAGGGGUCAGCUCCUUGAAGGAAAUGGGCCACUAAAGCCGACGAGCACGUGGGAACAUUUGCAACAUCUCACUGCAUUGACUACAUUUUCCUACAGAGACACUCUCACGUCCAUCUCCGAGAAAGUCCGAUAAAUGAGGACGCCCUAAGAGUGGGGCUCGAACACGAGAACUAAGCGGGCACUUAGUCCACUACGCCACCGCGACCUGAUAAAUGUGUUCAUGCAAUGAUAAUACACGAUCUUUAAUCUCGCCGGAAAUCGAAAAAGCAGAACAUUCCCGGUACCGAUUUUUCCACGACAGACAGUGGUGAAAGCGAAGAGCAGUUAGGCGAUGAUGGUUUAUUUAGAAUGCCGACAUUGCGCAUCGGCACCUUGCCAGAAACUGGUCAACAACCUGACGGUGUUCGGGGACGCAUUAAUUAAGACACACCGGUCGGACCUAAUGAGGCUUUAAUUAGUGCAAACUGAUCAGGGUCAGUUGAGGCUAGGCACGUGACGUAGAAGCAUUGAUAGCACUGCGUCCCGUUUAAUUAUGCUGGACAUCAGUUAAGUGCUGUCACAGCAGAGAAAGUACUUUUAUACUUGUAGUUAUCAGUCAUAGAUAUUUUUUGGAGGAAAUGUUACUGAUUUUAAAAGUUAAAACAAUUUUCACAUGAGGUAGUUAACACACUUCUCACUAGAAAGUCUGAUAACUCACAAUGCUAAAAAUAUAUGUAUGAAGGGGAUGUAAGAUGUACAUGAAAAUUAUGUUGUUCAGUUUUUGUAAAAAAAUGAAUUAUUUUGAUAUAAUCUACCGAGAUUAAUAACAUGUCUACUGCUUAUAUAACCAAUUGUAAUUUUCAUUACCAAGAAGUCAGUAUUGAGACUGUAUUUUUAUUAUUAACCAGUCGGGUCUCAAAUCGGCAAUCCUUCCACAAAUUAUGUCAAUCAACUUUGACGUUUUUAUAUCAUUGAUAUUGAGGCAAAAAAGAAAUACGUAGAUAAAAUGUUUUAGGACAGCUUCAUUAUAAACACUUAAUCAAUGAGAACUGAUGUACUUAUUACCCAAUAAAUAUAUGUCAUCAUACGUUGUAUGUAUAUUUUGAUUGUAGCCUGAAAAAUAUUCAGUAAAUUUCAUUCCAUACACAUAAUACUUACUUGACGAUGUAGAACAAGUAAAAUCUAUGACCAUG